This 253-nucleotide ribosomal RNA is filed under the name uncultured bacterium. RNAcentral describes it as "partial 16S ribosomal RNA". It matches the Rfam family "Bacterial small subunit ribosomal RNA", at positions 524 to 776 of the family's 1533-position model. The record is from RNAcentral.
GACAGAGGGUGCAAACGUUGUUCGGAAUUACUGGGCGUAAAGGGCGGGUAGGCGGCAAGGCAAGUCGGAUGUGAAAGCCCACGGCUCAACCGUGGAAGUGCACCCGAAACUGCCUAGCUAGAGUCUCGGAGAGGAAGGUGGAAUGCUUGGUGUAGGGGUGAAAUUCGUAGAUAUCAAGCGGAACACCGGUGGCGAAGGCGGCCUUCUGGACGAUGACUGACGCUGAGACGCGAAAGCGUGGGGAGCAAACAGG